UACGUAGGGGGCAAGCGUUGUCCGGAAUCAUUGGGCGUAAAGAGCGCGUAGGCGGCCCUGUAAGUCCGCUGUGAAAGUCAAGGGCUCAACCCUUGGAUGCCGGUGGAUACUGCAGGGCUAGAGUCCGGAAGAGGCGAGUGGAAUUCCUGGUAUAGCGGUGAAAUGCGCAGAUAUCAGGAGGAACACCGAUGGCGAAGGCAGCUCGCUGGGACGGUACUGACGCUGAGGCGCGAAAGCGUGGGGAGCAAACAGG
Molecule: ribosomal RNA, 253 nt
Filed under: uncultured bacterium
Lineage: Bacteria
Description: partial 16S ribosomal RNA
Rfam family: Bacterial small subunit ribosomal RNA
Source: RNAcentral